RNAcentral lists this ribosomal RNA (508 nucleotides) under uncultured bacterium. RNAcentral describes it as "partial 16S ribosomal RNA". It matches the Rfam family "Bacterial small subunit ribosomal RNA", at positions 28 to 507 of the family's 1533-position model. The record is from RNAcentral.
GACGAACGCUGGCGGCGUGCCUAAUACAUGCAAGUCGAACGCUUCUUUCCUCCCGAGUGCUUGCACUCAAUUGGAAAGAGGAGUGGCGGACGGGUGAGUAACACGUGGGUAACCUACCCAUCAGAGGGGGAUAACACUUGGAAACAGGUGCUAAUACCGCAUAACAGUUUAUGCCGCAUGGCAUAAGAGUGAAAGGCGCUUUCGGGUGUCGCUGAUGGAUGGACCCGCGGUGCAUUAGCUAGUUGGUGAGGUAACGGCUCACCGAGGCCACGAUGCAUAGCCGACCUGAGAGGGUGAUCGGCCACACUGGGACUGAGACACGGCCCAGACUCCUACGGGAGGCAGCAGUAGGGAAUCUUCGGCAAUGGACGAAAGUCUGACCGAGCAACGCCGCGUGAGUGAAGAAGGUUUUCGGAUCGUAAAACUCUGUUGUUAGAGAAGAACAAGGACGUUAGUAACUGAACGUCCCCUGACGGUAUCUAACCAGAAAGCCACGGCUAACUACGUG